RNAcentral lists this ribosomal RNA (485 nucleotides) under uncultured bacterium. Its description in RNAcentral is "bacterial SSU rRNA". It matches the Rfam family "Bacterial small subunit ribosomal RNA", at positions 28 to 519 of the family's 1533-position model. The record is from RNAcentral.
GAUGAACGCUAGCGGCAGGCCUAAUACAUGCAAGGCGAGGGGUUAGCAAUAACACCGUCGUACGGGUGCGUAACGCGUAUGCAACCUACCUAUCACCGGGGGAUAGCCUUUGGAAACAGGGAUUAAUACCGCAUAAAUACUGAUAGUCAGCAUUGGUUUUCAGUUAAAGAUUUAUUGGUGAUAGAUGGGCAUGCGUCUGAUUAGUUAGAUGGUGAGGUAACGGCUCACCAAUGACGAUGAUCAGUAGGGGGCGUCAGAGCGUGGUCCCCCACACUGGCACUGAGAUACGGGCCAGACUCCUACGGGAGGCAGCAGUAGGGAAUAUUGGGCAAUGGAUGCAAGUCUGACCCAGCCAUGCCGCGUGCAGGAAGAAGGUCCUCUGGAUUGUAAACUGCUUUUGUCGGGGAAGAAUAGGUCUUUGCGGAGGGAUUGUGGACCGGUACCGAUAGAAUAACGCCACGGCUAAACUACGUGCCAGCGACGCC